AACAUGUCUUUUUGAAUAUAAUUUAAAGUCUAAUCUGCCCACUGAUUUAAAUAUUAAAGGGCUGCAGUAUAUUGACUGUACAAAGGUAGCAUAAUCAAUAGUCUUUUAAUUGAAGACUUGUAUGAAGGAUUUGAUGAAAUAUAAACUGUCUCUUAAUUAUAGUUAGAAUUUAAUUUUUUAGUUAAAAAGCUAAAAUAAAUUUAAAAGACGAGAAGACCCUAUAGAGUUUUAUAAUUUUUAAAUAAAAUUAUUUAUAUAAAUUUUUAAUAUUAUUAUUUAAUAAUUAUUUUGUUGGGGUGAUAAAAAAAUUAAUUAAACUUUUUUUAAAAAUUUACAAAAAUAAAUGAUUAAUUGAUCCAUAAUAAUGAUUAAAAGAAAAAAUUACCUUAGGGAUAACAGCGUAAUAUUUUUUUUUAGUACAAAUAAGAAAAAAAGUUUGCGACCUCGAUGUUGGAUUAAGAUAAAAUUUAAAUGCAAAAGUUUAAAAUUUUGAUCUGUUCGAUCAUUAAAAUCUUACAUGA
This 521-nucleotide ribosomal RNA is filed under the name Hypolycaena erylus. RNAcentral describes it as "partial 16S ribosomal RNA". Lineage: Eukaryota; Metazoa; Arthropoda; Insecta; Lepidoptera; Lycaenidae. The record is from RNAcentral.